AAUUAGUUUAGACAUCAUUGCAUCUUUUCUAUCUUGAUAUUCUUAAAUAUGUAUUUUUGAAGUGUUGAUGUCAUUGCAUCAUUGGACAAUAUAUCAAAAUUUCUAAUCCACAGGUCACGCUUGGCAAUUCUUAAGGUAUAAGAGCUAGCCACUUCUAGUUUCUGAAUUAGAGGAAUUUGAUGGAAUGGAAACUUUUCCUGAAUGUUUAGGACCUUUCAACUGUUCAACUAUAGAGUCUUCACAAUUGCAAGAUCUAAAUGUAUCUUCCCACGGCACACGAGCCAUGCAAUGCCUCACUUUAUUAGAAGAACUUAUUUGUCAUUGCCCCUAAUUAAAGGAAAAAUGUGCAAAGGGGAGCAGUGCAGAGAGGUCCAAGAUUUGCCAUAAUCCAAAAUUUUGCAUCAAUGAAUGCAUUAAACAAGCAAUUUGAAGAUCAUAUUCAUUGUUAAGACAGAUGUCCAGUAAGUUUUCUCCUAGCUCAUCCUCUCUUCUUCUCUUAUAGCUUACUUUAUAGUUUAUAUCGACCUAAGAAUAUUUUCGUAAUUGCUCCCAUUUUUUUCUCUCUUCAGUUUCCCUAAAUCUUUUUGUGUUUGGUUAUUUUCUAUUUAAUGAGUUCAAUAUGUUGCCUCAACGUGCAAAUACUAGGGAUGGCGUAUCUAUUGUGUUCAGCUGGAGAACAAUUAAUUACAUUAUGGAUUUUUAAUAUACUCCUAAGCUAGGGGAAGUUUAUAAGAGUUAGUAAGUUUACUCAGAUCUUCUCCUCUUGUCUAAUAUAUGAAUUAUAAAUUCAAUCCAAUAAGUAUGUCAUUUGUGGUAAUUAUCCUCUCUUCCCUCUCACUUUUCUAGUUUUCCUACAAAUCCUUUGAACCUGUUACUUAUUAUAUUUUCCAUCUUGAUAUUCUGAUAGAUGUAGUUUUCAAGUGUUGAUGUCAUUGUAUCAAUAUUUGUAACCCACAGGUAACACUUGACAAUUUGACAUAUAAGAGCCAAAAGUAAUUUCUGAUGUAUCAGAGAAUUCUUUUCAAAUCCCAAGGAUACCUCACAUACCACAAUCCAGGAGUCUAACCUUCUUUGGUGAUCUAAGUUGUUGGGCCAACUUUGGCACCUAUAUGUCCUUUGUUGGAGGCAUUAAAUUUGUGAUGAUGUUAGAGCCUUUCCAGAUGUGUUGGGGAAACUUUUCAUCUCUUCAAAAACUGAAGUUCAGUUACAAGAACUGCUACUACCUACCAACAAAGCAAGAAGUGAGAUCCCUUUCCAUGUGGUGUUGAAUGAAAGUUUGCCAGAGUGAUUGAGUAGUGGGAGUGGCCCAUUGGUGGAAUAUUGUUGAUAGUCCAAGAAUCACAAUAGAGGGAAUUCUAAAUUGAUUCCAUUGCAAUUAUGUCAUCGAAAUUUCAAACCAAUAGGUGAGGCCAUGGAUUUUCCUGUGCUUAUGGAAUAGUUGCUUCUAUCAAAUGACUUCAACAGCUUAUUGGAUCAUGCGGUGGACAUCUAUAGAUUAUAUUGUUAUCAUGUGCAGGAAAAUGCAAUUGAGACAAUGUCUAUUGUUUCCAGCUAGAGGAACAAUUUAUUAUAAUUGCUAGCAGACGUACAAGGAGGAAGCUGGAAUGGGGGCAACUUUGAGUAUGAAUUCGACGAAUUCAAGGCAAUUGGCCCUAACUGGAGGAGAGCUAUGCAUAACAAAAGGCAAUCCCUAAGUGUAUCCAAGCUUUGUUAAAAAGUCUGCUUCCUUGUUCCCUUUACGUUAGGAAUGAUUUAGCUGGAGAUGGGAUAUCAAGCUUGUGAGGGGCCACUAGUCUCUAACCAUACCAGCAUAAAACUUUGUUGAAGUAACAGUAUCAGUAAAGUCAUGGAUGUAUGUAUAAUCCUAUAAUAAAAUUCGUUACCUUUUCUUAAUUAAAAAAAAGUGCUAGUUGAGCUACUAGACUCUUGGCAUGUUGGUGAAUUGUUUGUUUAAGUUUGAAGUGGAAUUAAUUUAUGACUGCUGAUAAUCUGGUUGAUAUGAACAAAUUUGGGUGAAGAGUUGGUUGGGGAAAACCAAGAAUCUCAUGAGGACUAGACCAAUUUGUAACUUUACCUUUCUUCCAACCUUUGGUCCAUUGGUCAUAAUUUUUUUUUUCCCGUAAUGUUAUGUUUUCAUUUUCCCCAGCUAAAGUUUGAC
Molecule: long non-coding RNA, 2158 nt
Organism: Quercus lobata
Lineage: Eukaryota; Viridiplantae; Streptophyta; Magnoliopsida; Fagales; Fagaceae
Exons: 4
Source: RefSeq, a predicted model, not a curated record